UACGUAGGGUGCGAGCGUUGUCCGGAAUUAUUGGGCGUAGAGAGCUCGUAGGCGGUGUGUCACGUCGGCCGUGAAAACCUGCAGCUUAACUGUGGGCGUGCGGUCGAUACGGGCAUCACUGGAGUUCGGCAGGGGAGACUGGAAUUCCUGGUGUAGCGGUGAAAUGCGCAGAUAUCAGGAGGAACACCGGUGGCGAAGGCGGGUCUCUGGGCCGAUACUGACGCUGAGGAGCGAAAGCGUGGGGAGCAAACAGG
Molecule: ribosomal RNA, 254 nt
Filed under: uncultured bacterium
Lineage: Bacteria
Description: partial 16S ribosomal RNA
Rfam family: Bacterial small subunit ribosomal RNA
Source: RNAcentral